UUUUACCCUAAUCUCAGAUAACAAGUUUUGGUAUUUCUGUCCCGUUAGCAUAAAAUGAUUCUGUUGAACUGUAUGGGUUGAUGAAUCUUUGGUUUUGGUAUUGAGCUGAAAAUACCUCUUUGGUAUUUCUGUCCCGUUACAGUUAAAAAAUGGUUUUAUUAGGAAGCAUUAGCACCAAAUUAUAUAGCAUUCAAAUUCUGCUAGUUAAUAGAAAUUAACAAGCUGGGCUAAUUAUAUACUUUUGUAAAUGUUACAAGCAUACAUGAAAACUCACUAACCUUCUCAGGUUGUAAUGAUCUUAGAUAAUCCAACAAAUCAUUCUUUUCCUCUCCAACAAACUGUUGCAUCUGCAAGGCAGAAUUUCUCCUCUUGAUAUCACGCAGCUCCGCUGGAUGAAUCAACAAGUUUCUGUGUAGGUAAAAUGAAAGAAAAAUCAUGACAGCCGGCUCAUCAUCAGCAUCAUCUUUCACUCGACGACACAUGAACGACGAGCAAUGUGAAGCUCCCCACAUAUUAUGUUAUCGUGGGUUACGAGCUAUUCUCCAGACAUCAUGGACGGAAUCCAACCCAGGACGCGAUUUUUUUCAUGUCCAAAUUUUAGAGAAAGGGAAUGUGGCUUUUUCUUAUGGCAUGACCCAGAACUGUUAGAGAGAAGUAAGACAAUUAUUAAUGAGUUGAAGAGGAAUAAUAAAAAUUAAAGUUACAGAUUAGUAAAUUGGAGAAAAGUAUUAGCUACAAGGGUGCUGUUGAAUACAAUGAUGUUCUUGAUGAUGAGAAUAACAAUCAUGUAAUUAUGCAGUUCAAUGACGAAAUAUAUUCAUUGAAUAGGAAAUUUGGAGUUGCUAUCGUUGUAGUUAUAUGUACCUAGAUUGUGAUGAUGUGGAUGUGGUUGAUGUAACUUAUUUUGUGAUGUAACUUGACAUUUGGAUGUAACUCUAAGUGAUGUAACUUGUUUUGUUAUACAAAGUGAACUAGUUCUGUUAUGAUUUUUA
Long non-coding RNA from Zingiber officinale, 992 nucleotides. RefSeq lists it as uncharacterized. The record is from RefSeq and is a predicted model, not a curated record. The transcript is spliced from 3 exons. Lineage: Eukaryota; Viridiplantae; Streptophyta; Magnoliopsida; Zingiberales; Zingiberaceae.